RNAcentral lists this ribosomal RNA (398 nucleotides) under uncultured bacterium. RNAcentral describes it as "bacterial SSU rRNA". It matches the Rfam family "Bacterial small subunit ribosomal RNA", at positions 30 to 429 of the family's 1533-position model. The record is from RNAcentral.
AUUGAACGCUGGCGGCAUGCCUUACACAUGCAAGUCGAACGGCAGCACGGGAGCUUGCUCCUGGUGGCGAGUGGCGAACGGGUGAGUAAUACAUCGGAACGUACCCUGAAGUGGGGGAUAACGUAGCGAAAGUUACGCUAAUACCGCAUAUUCUGUGAGCAGGAAAGAGGGGGAUCGCAAGACCUCUUGCUUUAGGAGCGGCCGAUGUCGGAUUAGCUAGUUGGUGAGGUAAAGGCUCACCAAGGCGACGAUCCGUAGCGGGUCUGAGAGGAUGAUCCGCCACACUGGGACUGAGACACGGCCCAGACUCCUACGGGAGGCAGCAGUGGGGAAUUUUGGACAAUGGGCGCAAGCCUGAUCCAGCCAUGCCGCGUGAGUGAAGAAGGCCUCGGUGUAAG